This 497-nucleotide ribosomal RNA is filed under the name uncultured bacterium. RNAcentral describes it as "partial 16S ribosomal RNA". It matches the Rfam family "Bacterial small subunit ribosomal RNA", at positions 28 to 507 of the family's 1533-position model. The record is from RNAcentral.
GAUGAACGCUGGCGGCGUGCCUAAUACAUGCAAGUCGAGCGAACGGACGAGAAGCUUGCUUCUCUGAUGUUAGCGGCGGACGGGUGAGUAACACGUGGAUAACCUACCUAUAAGACUGGGAUAACUUCGGGAAACCGGAGCUAAUACCGGAUGAUAUUUUGAACCGCAUGGUUCAAGAGUGAAAGACGGUCUUGCUGUCACUUAUAGAUGGAUCCGCGCUGCAUUAGCUAGUUGGUAAGGUAACGGCUUACCAAGGCAACGAUGCAUAGCCGACCUGAGAGGGUGAUCGGCCACACUGGAACUGAGACACGGUCCAGACUCCUACGGGAGGCAGCAGUAGGGAAUCUUCCGCAAUGGGCGAAAGCCUGACGGAGCAACGCCGCGUGAGUGAUGAAGGUCUUCGGAUCGUAAAACUCUGUUAUUAGGGAAGAACAUAUGUGUAAGUAACUGUGCACAUCGUGACGGUACCUAAUCAGAAAGCCACGGCUAACUACGUG